AGUGAACGCUGGCGGUAGGCCUAACACAUGCAAGUCGAACGGCAGCACAGUAAGAGCUUGCUCUUACGGGUGGCGAGUGGCGGACGGGUGAGGAAUACAUCGGAAUCUACUUUUUCGUGGGGGAUAACGUAGGGAAACUUACGCUAAUACCGCAUACGACCUACGGGUGAAAGCAGGGGAUCUUCGGACCUUGCGCGAUUGAAUGAGCCGAUGUCGGAUUAGCUAGUUGGCGGGGUAAAGGCCCACCAAGGCGACGAUCCGUAGCUGGUCUGAGAGGAUGAUGAGCCACCCGGGAACUGAGACACGGUCCAGACUCCUACGGGAGGCAGCAGUGGGGAAUAUUGGACAAUGGGCGCAAGCCUGAUCCAGCCAUACCGCGUGGGUGAAGAAGGCCUUCGGGUUGUAAAGCCCUUUUGUUGGGAGAGAAAAGCAGCAGGUUAAUACCCCGCUGUUCUGACGGUACCCAAAGAAUAAGCACCGGCUAACUUCGUG
This 492-nucleotide ribosomal RNA is filed under the name uncultured bacterium. Its description in RNAcentral is "partial 16S ribosomal RNA". It matches the Rfam family "Bacterial small subunit ribosomal RNA", at positions 29 to 507 of the family's 1533-position model. The record is from RNAcentral.